UACGGGAGGCAGCAGUGGGGAAUAUUGGACAAUGGGCGCAAGCCUGAUCCAGCCAUACCGCGUGGGUGAAGAAGGCCUUCCGGUUGUAAAGCCCUUUUGUUGGGAAAGAAAUCUUGCCGUUUAAUACCUGGCGAGGAUGACGGUACCCAAAGAAUAAGCACCGGCUAACUUCGUGCCAGCACCCGCGGUAAUACGAAGGGUGCAAGCGUUACUCUGAAUUACUGGGCGUAAAGCGUGCGUANGUGGUGGUUUAAGUCUCCUGUGAAAGCCCUGGGCUCAACCUGGGAAUUGCANUGGAUACUGGGUCUCUANAGUGUGGUAGAGGGAUGCGGAAUUUCCGGUGUAGCAGUGAAAUGCGUAGAGAUCGGAAGGAACAUCCCUGGCGAAGGCGNCAUCCUGGGCCAACACUGACACUGAGGCACGAAAGCGUGGGGAGCAAACAGGAUUAGAUACCCUGGUAGUCCACACCCUAAACGAUGCGAACUGGAUGUUGGGUGCAACUUGGCACCCAGUAUCGAAGCUAACGCGUUAAGUUCGCCGCCUGGGGAGUACGGUCGCAAGACUGAAACUCAAAGG
Molecule: ribosomal RNA, 576 nt
Filed under: uncultured Pseudoxanthomonas sp.
Lineage: Bacteria; Pseudomonadati; Pseudomonadota; Gammaproteobacteria; Lysobacterales; Lysobacteraceae
Description: bacterial SSU rRNA
Rfam family: Bacterial small subunit ribosomal RNA
Source: RNAcentral